Molecule: unclassified non-coding RNA, 308 nt
Organism: Erinaceus europaeus (western European hedgehog)
Lineage: Eukaryota; Metazoa; Chordata; Mammalia; Eulipotyphla; Erinaceidae
Gene: 7SK
Rfam family: 7SK RNA
About the family: 7SK was discovered as an abundant small nuclear RNA in the mid-70s but a possible function has only recently been suggested. Two independent studies have found that 7SK RNA binds the CDK9/cyclin T complex (known as elongation factor P-TEFb). P-TEFb activates transcription by phosphorylating the C-terminal domain of RNA polymerase II.
Source: Ensembl
GGAUGUGAGGACGAUCUGGCGGCGACAUCUGUCACCCCAUUGAUUGCCAGGGUUGACUCGCUGAUCUGGCUGGCUAGGCGGGCGUCCCCUCCCACCCUCCCUCACCACUCCAUGUGCGUCCCUCCCUCUGGAAGCUGCGCACUCGCUCAGUGUAAAAGGACGGCCUUCCCUGAAUAAAGGUGGACUGGUCUUCUGUCCAGGGUAUAUGAGCAGCUGUGCUCCCAUGCUAGAACCUCCAAACAAGCUCUCAAGAAAAAGGGUGCAGUAAAACACUGUUACAUUUACCAGGUAUUAAAAAUGAAAGCUUU